Non-coding RNA from Pangasius djambal, 73 nucleotides. NCBI's taxonomy places the organism in Eukaryota, Metazoa, Chordata, Actinopteri, Siluriformes, Pangasiidae. The record is from the annotation of a GenBank genome assembly.
AAAGUGGUGGUUCAGUAGUUAAAGCUCUGAGCUGCUAAUCAGAAGGUUGUGGGUUCAAAUCCUCCCCCCUGAA